GACGAACGCUGGCGGCGUGCCUAAUACAUGCAAGUCGAACGCUGAAGGAGGAGCUUGCUUCUCUGGAUGAGUUGCGAACGGGUGAGUAACGCGUAGGUAACCUGCCUGGUAGCGGGGGAUAACUAUUGGAAACGAUAGCUAAUACCGCAUAAUAGCAGUUGUUGCAUGACAACUGUUUGAAAGGUGCAAUUGCACCACUACCAGAUGGACCUGCGUUGUAUUAGCUAGUUGGUGGGGUAACGGCUCACCAAGGCGACGAUACAUAGCCGACCUGAGAGGGUGAUCGGCCAAACUGGGACUGGGACACGGCCCAGACUCCUACGGGAGGCAGCAGUAGGGAAUCUUCGGCAAUGGACGGAAGUCUGACCGAGCAACGCCGCGGGAGUGAAGAAGGUUUUCGGAUCGUAAAGCUCUGUUGUAAGAGAAGAACGAGUGUGAGAGUGGAAAGUUCACACUGUGACGGUAUCUUACCAGAAAGGGACGGCUAACUACGUG
Molecule: ribosomal RNA, 495 nt
Filed under: uncultured bacterium
Lineage: Bacteria
Description: partial 16S ribosomal RNA
Rfam family: Bacterial small subunit ribosomal RNA
Source: RNAcentral